Molecule: ribosomal RNA, 251 nt
Filed under: uncultured bacterium
Lineage: Bacteria
Description: partial 16S ribosomal RNA
Rfam family: Bacterial small subunit ribosomal RNA
Source: RNAcentral
AGUAACACGUAGGUAACCUGCCCAUGUGCCCGGGAUAACUUCUGGAAACGGAUGCUAAAACCGGAUAGGUAGCAGACAAGCAUUUGACUGCUAUUAAAGUGGCUAAGGCCAUGAACAUGGAUGGACCUGCGGUGCAUUAACUAGUUGGUGAGGUAACGGCCCACCAAGGCGACGAUGCAUAGCCGGCCUGAGAGGGCGGACGGCCACAUUGGGACUGAGACACGGCCCAAACUCCUACGGGAGGCAGCAUG